Gymnodraco acuticeps is the source of this 300-nucleotide long non-coding RNA. RefSeq lists it as uncharacterized. The record is from RefSeq and is a predicted model, not a curated record. The transcript has 3 exons. Lineage: Eukaryota; Metazoa; Chordata; Actinopteri; Perciformes; Bathydraconidae.
GAGAUCCUGGAACGCUGGCCUGCCUUGAAAAUGGAGUCACAGAGUUUCACAGGAUAACAAACCUCAACCUGAAGAACCACUUCUAUGCGGAGUUGGAUAGACAUGUCCCCCCCGUCUUCAGAGCCUGUUCAGGAAGAAGGCGGCAAGGGAAGGAAAGGAAACUGAACUUCUGGAUCAGCUAUUCACCUCCUAUGACCUCCAGGAGCAAGGUGACGUCCAUGUCCGACGUGCUGCUGUCCUCUGUGCUGUGCCUGCAUAUCUGCAUGAAGAUGACUCCACGUUUCUGAGGCUGUGGCAUGU